This 29-nucleotide non-coding RNA is filed under the name Mus musculus (house mouse). The record is from RNAcentral. Lineage: Eukaryota; Metazoa; Chordata; Mammalia; Rodentia; Muridae.
UCCAACUUGAGCCUUCCCGUGCAACCUCC